UCUGGCUGUGACAUCUGUCAACCCAUUGAUCUUCAGGGUUGAUUGGGCUGAUCUGGCUGGCUAGCACAUUGAUCACUU
This 78-nucleotide small nuclear RNA is filed under the name Callithrix jacchus (white-tufted-ear marmoset). RNAcentral's name for it is "7SK RNA". Lineage: Eukaryota; Metazoa; Chordata; Mammalia; Primates; Cebidae. The record is from Rfam by way of RNAcentral.